This 750-nucleotide unclassified non-coding RNA is filed under the name uncultured Prochlorococcus sp. Its description in RNAcentral is "partial contains 16S ribosomal RNA and 16S-23S ribosomal RNA intergenic spacer". The stretch from base 1 to 264 matches the Rfam family "Bacterial small subunit ribosomal RNA", at positions 1271 to 1533 of the family's 1533-position model. Lineage: Bacteria; Bacillati; Cyanobacteriota; Cyanophyceae; Synechococcales; Prochlorococcaceae. The record is from RNAcentral.
AUCCCAUAAACCGUGGCUCAGUUCAGAUCGUAGGCUGCAACUCGCCUACGUGAAGUAGGAAUCGCUAGUAAUCGCAGGUCAGCAUACUGCGGUGAAUACGUUCCCGGGCCUUGUACACACCGCCCGUCACACCAUGGAAGUUGGCCAUGCCCGAAGUCGUUACUCCAACCCUUGUGGAGGAGGACGCCGAAGGUGGGGCUAAUGACUGGGGUGAAGUCGUAACAAGGUAGCCGUACCGGAAGGUGCGGCUGGAUCACCUCCUAACAGGGAGACAACAAAAUGUUUAAUAUUAUUAUUUUGUCACCUUAGGUCGAUCGGUAUCUCACGUUCUUAAUUUAUUAAGAAUUUCAUUUCCUAAGUUUUUCUAGGUCACACCCAUUAUUUUUCCUGGGCCAUUAGCUCAGGUGGUUAGAGCGCACCCCUGAUAAGGGUGAGGUCCCUGGUUCAAGUCCAGGAUGGCCCAUAUCUCUAUGUUGGGGGUAUAGCUCAGUUGGUAGAGCGCCUGCUUUGCAAGCAGGAUGUCAGCGGUUCGAGUCCGCUUACCUCCACUGAUUACCACCUUUCAUAAUCUGUAGAGAGGAAAUGUUUUGAGUUGUGAUCAAAGCCUGAAAGAAUCUAGCUUCCUAAUGAAAUCAUUAAGAUGCUGGACUCAUUGAAUUAAUUUCAUUGUUUUCAGAGAACCUUGACAACUGCAUAGAUUAUUUUUAAAGACAAUAAGCAUUUUUAAUGAUGCAGAUAUAUUAUUUGUGC